Molecule: non-coding RNA, 521 nt
Organism: Aegilops tauschii subsp. strangulata
Lineage: Eukaryota; Viridiplantae; Streptophyta; Magnoliopsida; Poales; Poaceae
Source: RefSeq, a predicted model, not a curated record
CUUUCAUUCCUUCUGACCUUCUAGUUUGCUUGUUUAACUAACAUCCAGGCUAUGUUGGCGUCUUGGAGUAACCGCACGGAUCCACCACAAAUGGGACCCCCACCACCACCUGCGGGAGAACCCCCACACGUGCCCACGUUCGAUGAAUGGGUGGCACUAGGCAGUGAUAGUCCGGGGACCGGUGGCUCGACUCCUGCUCCAUCGACCCCAGUCACUCCGAUCUUCCAGAGUGAUGGUGGUCGCGGUGGCGGUUUUGGCGGUGGCGAUUUUGGCGGAGGUGGUCUUGGCGGUGGUGGUUUUGGCGGAGGUGGUCUUGGUGGUGGUGGUUUUGGCGGAGGUGGUCUUGCUUGAUCUUUCAUGUUCCUACUUUCAUGAUGUUCCAUGUCUUGCACUAGUUUUAUGUUCAUGAACUUUCGCCGGUGAUGAACUUGACUAUGUUUAAAUGAUGAUGAUGAACUUGAGUAUGUUUAGAUGAUGAACUGUCAUAUUUCUGCAUAAUCCCAUAUUAUUCUGCUUUGAAA